Molecule: ribosomal RNA, 494 nt
Filed under: uncultured bacterium
Lineage: Bacteria
Description: partial 16S ribosomal RNA
Rfam family: Bacterial small subunit ribosomal RNA
Source: RNAcentral
GACGAACGCUGGCGGCGUGCUUAACACAUGCAAGUCGAACGGUGAGGCGCCUUGCUUUUUUGUGUGUUUUUAUGAGUGGCGAGCGGGUUAGUAACACGUUAAUAUCCUGCUCCCUUCUGCUUGACUACCGCAUGAAAGAGUGGCUAAUACGUGAUAUUCUGGGUCUGUCGCAUCAUGGGUCUAGGAAAGAUAUUGUGUCGGUGAGGGAUGGGCUCGCGGCCUAUCAGCUUGUUGGUGAGGUGAUGGCCUACCAAGGCGGUGACGGGUAGCCGGCCUGAGAGGGUGGGCGGUCACACUGGGACUGCGACACGGAGACGACUACUACGGGCGGCAGCAGUGGGGAAUAUGGCAUAAUGGGCGGACGGAUGAUGCAGCGACGCGGCGUGAGGGAUGGUGGCCGUAGGGUUGUGAACUUCUUUCGCCAGUGAAGAAGGCUUGCCUCGUUUGUGGGUGGGUUGACGGUAGCUAGAUAAGAAGCGACGGCUAACUACGUG